Molecule: non-coding RNA, 958 nt
Filed under: Nipponocypris sieboldii (Japanese chub)
Lineage: Eukaryota; Metazoa; Chordata; Actinopteri; Cypriniformes; Xenocyprididae
Description: 12S ribosomal RNA
Rfam family: Bacterial small subunit ribosomal RNA
Source: RNAcentral
UAAAGGCAUGGUCCUGACCUUACUAUCAGCUUUAGCCCAACUUACACAUGCAAGUCUCCGCAGCCCCGCGAGUAUGCCCUCAAUCCCCCGCCCGGGGACGAGGAGCGGGCAUCAGGCACAAAUAUUAGCCCAAGACGCCUAGCCAAGCCACACCCCCAAGGGAUUUCAGCAGUGAUAAACAUUAAGCCAUAAGUGAAAACUUGACUCAGUCAGGGUUAAGAGGGCCGGUAAAACUCGUGCCAGCCACCGCGGUUAAACGAGAGGCCCGAGUUGAUAGCACCACGGCGUAAAGGGUGGUUAAGGAAAGCAGCAUAAUAAAGCCAAAUGGCCCUUUGGCCGUCAUACGCUUCUAGGUGUCCGAAGCCCAGUCCCACGAAAGUAGCUUUAAUAAAACCCACCUGACCCCACGAAAGCUGAGAAACAAACUGGGAUUAGAUACCCCACUAUGCUCAGCCAUAAACCUAGACGUCCAACUACAAUUAGACAUCCGCCCGGGUACUACGAGCAUCAGCUUGAAACCCAAAGGACCUGACGGUGCCUUAGACCCCCCUAGAGGAGCCUGUUCUAGAACCGAUAACCCCCGUUAAACCUCACCACUCCUGGCCCCUCCAGCCUAUAUACCGCCGUCGUCAGCUUACCCUGUGAAGGUAAUAAAAGUAAGCAAAAUGGGCACGACCCAGAACGUCAGGUCGAGGUGUAGCGUACGAAGUGGGAAGAAAUGGGCUACAUUUUCUAUAAUAGAAUACUACGAAUAUGCAACAUGAAAUAGUGCUUGAAGGAGGAUUUAGUAGUAAAAAGGAAGCAGAGUGUCCUUUUGAACCCGGCUCUGAGGCGCGUACACACCGCCCGUCACUCUCCCCUGUCAAAACGCAACAAAAAUUCCUAAUACUAGAGCACUGACAAGGGGAGGCAAGUCGUAACAUGGUAAGUGUACCGGAAGGUGCACUUGGAUUAAACC